This 253-nucleotide ribosomal RNA is filed under the name uncultured bacterium. RNAcentral describes it as "partial 16S ribosomal RNA". It matches the Rfam family "Bacterial small subunit ribosomal RNA", at positions 524 to 776 of the family's 1533-position model. The record is from RNAcentral.
UACAGAGGUGGCAAGCGUUGUUCGGAAUUACUGGGCGUAAAGGGCGCGUAGGCGGUUCGUUAAGUCCUGUGUGAAAGCCCCGGGCUCAACCUGGGAAUUGCAUUCGAGACUGCAUUGCUGGAGUACGGAAGAGGAGGGCGGAAUUCCCGGUGUAGCGGUGAAAUGCGUAGAUAUCGGGAGGAACAUCAGUGGCGAAGGCGGCCCUCUGGUCCAGUACUGACACUCAAGUGCGAAAGCGUGGGGAGCAAACAGG